This is a long non-coding RNA of Gorilla gorilla gorilla (western lowland gorilla), 3092 nucleotides long. RefSeq lists it as uncharacterized. Lineage: Eukaryota; Metazoa; Chordata; Mammalia; Primates; Hominidae. The record is from RefSeq and is a predicted model, not a curated record. The transcript is spliced from 3 exons.
AGCUGGAGUUCCGGGUGGGCGUGGGCUUGGCGGCCCGGCACUCGGAGCAGCUGGCCGGCCCUGCGGGCCCCGGGCAAUGAGGGACUUAGCACCCGGGCCAGCGGCUGCGGAGGGUGUGCUGGGUCCCCCAGCAGUGCCAGCCCACCAGCGCUGCGCUUGAUAUCUCACCGGGCCUUAGCUGCCUUCCCGUGGGGCAGGGCUCAGGACCUGCAGCCCGCCAUGCCUGAGCCUCCCUCCGCUCCGUGGGCUCCUGUGCGGCCCGAGCCUCCACGACGAGCGCCACCCCCUGCUCCACGGUGCCCAGUCCCAUCGACAACCCAAGGGCUGAGGAGUGCGGGUGCACGGCGCGGGACUGGCAGGCAGCUCCACCUGCAGCCCCGGUGCAGGGUCCACUGGGUGAAGCCAGCUAGGCUCCUGAAUCUGGUGGGGACGUGCAGAACCUUUAUGUCUAGCUAAGGGAUUGUAAAUGCACCAAUCAGCACACUGUGUCUAGCUCAGGGCUUGUGAAUGCACCAAUCCACACUCUGUAUCUAGCUACUGUGGUAGGGCCUUGGAGAACCUUUAUGUCUAGCUCAGGGAUUGUAAAUACACCAAUCGCACUCUGUAUCUAGCUCAAGGUUUGUAAACACACCAAUCAGCACCCUGUGUCUAGCUCAGGGUUUGUGAAUGCACCAAUCGACACUCUGUAUCUAGCUACUCUGGUGGGGCCUUGGAGAACCUUUGUGUCCACACUCUGUAUCUAGCUAAUCUGGUGGGGACCUGGAGAACCUUUGUGUCUAGCUCAGGGAUUGUAAACGCACCAAUCAGCGCCCUGUCAAAACAGACCACUCUGCUCUACCAAUCAGCAGGAUGUGGGUGGGAGCCAGAUAAGAGAGUAAAAGCAGGCUGCCCGAGCCAGCAGUGGCAACCCGUUGGGGUCCCCUUCCACAAUGUGGAAGCUUUGUUCUUUCGCUCUUUGCAAUAAAUCCUGCUGCUGCUCACUCUUUGGGCCCACACUGUCUUUAUGAGCUGUAACACUCACCGCGAAGUUCUGCAGCUUCACUCCUGAGCCAGCAAGACCACGAACCCACCAGAAGGAAGAAACUCCGAACACAUCCGAACUUCAGAAGGAACAAACUCCAGACGUGCCACCUUAAGAGCUGUAACACUCAACGCGAGGGUCCGUGGCUUCAUUCUUGAAGUCAGUGAGACCAAGAGCCCACCAAUUCCGGACACAUGUUGACUGAUGUCUCAUGUCUCCCUAAAAUGUAUAAAACCAAGCUGUGCCCCUACCACCUUAGGCACAUGUUGUCAGGACCUUCUGAGGCUGUCAUGGGCACAUGUCCUCAACCUUGGCAAGAUAAACUUUCUAAAUUAACUGAGACUUGUCUCAGACUUUGGGGGUUCAUAUUUUGGCAACCACGAAGGGAUUAUAUGUGGAGAUGCCCCUGACCUUAGGCAAAUCUCCUAUCAGUGCUUGGUACCAGCCUGAGCUAACUUUAUGGCUCAAACCAAUAGGACAAUUUGUUGAGGUCUGGAAGCACUCCCUCCAGAGAAUCCCCAAAAUUUGCUUGAGAUCAAAAGUUUAUUUUGCUAUACAACUCCUUUUUUUUUUUUUUUUUUUUUUGGAGUUUUCCUUGCUUCCAACAAGGAAGGUAGGAUUUCCUGUUUCCAUGACAAUGGAAGGCAGGUAACUGCCUUAUAGAGUUUGAGCUCACUCCCAGCAAGAAGAUGAGUUUGAGGGUUUUUUUCCUGCUUCUAGGAUGGUAGAAAGCAGUCUUCAGCCUGAGACCCAUUCCUAGGUGCUCUUGAGUACAAGUUUCUGAUAACUUUGGAGAUUGUGACAUCAGAAUAGAAGAAAAACUUUCAGGACUCAUGGAGAAGUGAAAUGUUCAUGAACAUCAGGCAGAACAGGAAUUAACUGCAUGGACAGAACUAAUACAAGACUGAGGACAUGAGACUUCACAACCUGCUAAAAAUGAACUUUCCUAGUAACUGGGGACCUACCCGUCUAGGAAUAAACCAUCCUAGCCAUGAGAGAUCAGAUGAAACCUGAGACCAGAGACUCAUUUUCUCCUAAAAUGCUUUCUCCAAAAGAUUUUUAAAAAGAAAAGGGGGAAAAUAUGAAUGGAAAAUAAAUCUUGGGGCCCCAACAUCACUGAGCUAAAGGGAAAAGUCAAGCUGGGAACUGCUUAGGGCCAACCUGCCUCCCGUUCUAUUCAAAGUCACCUCUCUGCUCACUGAGAUAAGUGUAUAUCUGACUGCCUUAUUUGGAGAGGCUAAUCAGAAACUCAAAAGAAUGCAACCAUUUGUCUCUUAUCUACCUAUGACCUGGAAACGCCCUCCCCACUUUGAGUUGUCCCACCUGUGAAAGGAAAAUAAAUCUUGGGGCCCCCAAAUCACUAAGCUAAAGGGAAAAGUCAAGCUGGGAACUGCUUAGGGCCAACCAUCCUCUCAUUCUAUUCACAGUCACCCCUUUGCUCACUGAGAUAGAUGCUAUCUGAUUGCCUCCUUUGGAAAGGCUAAGCAGAAACUCAAAAGAAUGCAACUUUCCAUCUCUCACCUAUCUGUGACCUGGAAGCCCAGUCCCUGCUUUGAGUCUUCCUGCCUUUGCUUCAAGCUGUCCCGCCUUUCCAGACCAAACCAAUGUACUUCUUACAUAUAUUGAUGUCUCAUGUCUCCCUAAAAUGUAUAAAACUAAACUGUGCCCCUACCACCUUGGGCACAUGUCGUCAGGACUUCCUGAGGCUGUGUCAUGGGCACAUCCUCUACCUUGGCAAAAUAAACUUUCUAAAUUAACUGGGACCUACCUCAAAUUAUCUGGGUUCACACGCCUUUGCCUCGAGUUGUCCCACCUUUCCGGACUGAACCAAUGUACAUCUUAACACAUACUGAUUGAUGUCUCAUGUCUCCCUAAAAUGUAUAAAACCAAGCUGUGCCCUGACCACCUUAGGCACAUGUCAUCAGGAUCUCCUGAGGCCAUAUUAUGGGUGCACGUUCUCAACCUUGGCAAAAUAAGCUUUCUAAAUUAACUGAGACGUGUCUCAGAUUUUUGGGAUUCACAAUCUCCACUCUUCACCAAACCUACAAUAAAAAACCCUCAGCUUUACUGU